RNAcentral lists this ribosomal RNA (577 nucleotides) under uncultured fungus. RNAcentral's name for it is "eukaryotic LSU rRNA". It matches the Rfam family "Eukaryotic large subunit ribosomal RNA", at positions 72 to 630 of the family's 3401-position model. Lineage: Eukaryota; Fungi. The record is from RNAcentral.
GGAUUCCCCUAGUAACUGCGAGUGAAGAGGGAAAAGCUCAAAUUUAAAAUCUGGUAGUCUUUGGCUGCCCGAGUUGUAAUUUAGAGAAGUGUUACCCGUUGUUGGGCCGUGUACAAGUCUCCUGGAAUGGAGCGUCAUAGAGGGUGAGAAUCCCGUCUUUGACACGGACUCCAAUGCGUUGUGGUAUGCUCUCAAAGAGUCGAGUUGUUUGGGAAUGCAGCUCUAAAUGGGUGGUAAAUUCCAUCUAAAGCUAAAUAUUGGGGAGAGACCGAUAGCGAACAAGUACCGUGAGGGAAAGAUGAAAAAAGAACUUUGGAAAGAGAGUUAAACAGUACGUGAAAUUGCUGAAAGGAAAACGCUUGAAGUCAGUCGCGUUAGUUGGGGAUCAGCCUUCCUUUUGGUUGGUGUACUUCCCAGUGGACGGGUCAGCAUCAGUUUUGACCAGUGGAUAAGAGCUUGNGGAAUGUGGCACCUUCGGGUGUGUUAUAGCCUCUUGUUGUAUACAUUGGUUGGGACUGAGGAACUCAGUACGCCCCAAGGCCGGGUUUUUAACCACGUUCGUACUUAGGAUGCUGGC